GGUGACCAGCGGAGGGNCAUUACCGAGUUUACAACUCCCAAACCCCUGUGAACAUACCACUUGUUGCCUCGGCGGAUCAGCCCGCUCCCGGUAAAACGGGACGGCCCGCCAGAGGACCCCUAAACUCUGUUUCUAUAUGUAACUUCUGAGUAAAACCAUAAAUAAAUCAAAACUUUCAACAACGGAUCUCUUGGUUCUGGCAUCGAUGAAGAACGCAGCAAAAUGCGAUAAGUAAUGUGAAUUGCAGAAUUCAGUGAAUCAUCGAAUCUUUGAACGCACAUUGCGCCCGCCAGUAUUCUGGCGGGCAUGCCUGUUCGAGCGUCAUUUCAACCCUCAAGCACAGCUUGGUGUUGGGACUCGCGUUAAUUCGCGUUCCUCAAAUUGAUUGGCGGUCACGUCGAGCUUCCAUAGCGUAGUAGUAAAACCCUCGUUACUGGUAAUCGUCGCGGCCACGCCGUUAAACCCCAACUUCUGAAUGUUGACCUCGGAUCAGGUAGGAAUACCCGCUGAACUUAAGCAUA
Molecule: ribosomal RNA, 521 nt
Filed under: Fusarium oxysporum f. sp. ranunculi
Lineage: Eukaryota; Fungi; Ascomycota; Sordariomycetes; Hypocreales; Nectriaceae
Description: eukaryotic LSU rRNA
Rfam family: 5.8S ribosomal RNA (bases 171-324)
Source: RNAcentral